UGGGGAAUUUUGGACAAUGGGGGAAACCCUGAUCCAGCCAUCCCGCGUGUGCGAUGAAGGCCUUCGGGUUGUAAAGCACUUUUGGCAGGAAAGAAACGUCGCGGGUUAAUACCCCGCGAAACUGACGGUACCUGCAGAGUAAGCACCGGCUAACUACGUGCCAGCAGCCGCGGUAAUACGUAGGGUGCAAGCGUUAAUCGGAAUUACUGGGCGUAAAGCGUGCGCAGGCGGUUCGGAAAGAAAGAUGUGAAAUCCCAGAGCUUAACUUUGGAACUGCAUUUUUAACUACCGGGCUAGAGUGUGUCAGAGGGAGGUGGAAUUCCGCGUGUAGCAGUGAAAUGCGUAGAUAUGCGGAGGAACACCGAUGGCGAAGGCAGCCUCCUGGGAUAACACUGACGCUCAUGCACGAAAGCGUGGGGAGCAAACAGGAUUAGAUACCCUGGUAGUCCACGCCCUAAACGAUGUCAACUAGCUGUUGGGGCCUUCGGGCCUUGGUAGCGCAGCUAACGCGUGAAGUUGACCGCCUGGGGAGUACGGUCGCAAGAUU
RNAcentral lists this ribosomal RNA (547 nucleotides) under uncultured bacterium. Its description in RNAcentral is "partial 16S ribosomal RNA". It matches the Rfam family "Bacterial small subunit ribosomal RNA", at positions 355 to 895 of the family's 1533-position model. The record is from RNAcentral.